AUAUGCUUGCUCCGAAGCUUAAGCCAUGCAUGUCUAAGAAUAAAGUAGCUGAUCCAGAAUCUGCGAACGGCUCCGUAUAUCUGUUAUAACCUAUCGACCCCACCGAAACACGGAUAACCACGGUAAUUCUGUGGCUAAUACGUGAACAAAGGGCUGGCAGCAAUGCCGGCUCGGCCUCGCGGCUCUUAUCAACGCCCUUCGGGGUAGCGUGAGCAGCUCGUGAGCGUCCCAGACCGCCCAUCAGGCGGCGUGUUCGGAGGGUUCCAGACCUAUCAACUAGAAGACUGUGGAGAGCACAGCCUUGGUUAUAACGGGUACAGAGGAUUAGGGUUCGGUCCUGGAGAGGUAGCCUGAGAGAUCGCUACUACUUCUAAGGAAGGCAGCAGGCGCGCAACGUUCCCAAUGGGCAUGCCCCUGAGGACGUGAAGGGGCAUAGCAAUACCGCACUAUAGUGCGGUAAUUGAAAUGGAGUGUCCUUAAAUAACACUCUGAGUAACAAUUGGAGGACAAGUCUGGUGCCAGCACCCGCGGUAAUUCCAGCUCCAAUAGCAUCUAAUUAAGUUGUUGCAGUUAAAACGCUCGUAGUCCGAGUCGGUGCGGCCGAGCGGAGCAUAGUAACGCGGGGGGUUCAGGCGGCAACAUAGGGGCACCGGCAACGGUCGCCCUUUGAGCCGUCUCCCCUGUGAGAACACUCCGGUUGGCCCACCGUCUCUGGGGCGGUUAGCUGGGGGCCGGCUUCAUUGCCUGAGCUCUCGGUCCGCCUCGCUUUACUUUGAAUAAACUCAAGCGCUCAAAGCAGGCCUUAGGGCCUCUCAUUAACCCACCGAAGAUCGCAGCAAAGGAUAAUGGAACAGGAUACCCUCCUGCUUCGUUGGUGUGCGACGGGUAUAAUGGUCAAUAGGGGGGAUCGGGGUCGGCCACAUGGCGGGGGUAGGGGUGAAAUCUGUUGAUCCUCGCCAGGUGAACUAACGCGAAAGCAGCCGACAAGUACCCUUUCUUUGAUCAAGAACGAAAGUCUGGGGAUCGAAGACGAUUAGAUACCGUCGUAGUCCAGACCCUAAAUGCUGCCGACCAUGGAUGAGCCCUCGUCCAUCCCGACAGAGCUUGGACCUUGUAGGAAACUAUUAAGUGUUUGGGCUCUGGGGGGAGUAUGGUCGCAAGACUGAAACUUAAAGGAAUUGACGGAAAAGCACACAAGGAGUGGAGCCUGCGGCUUAAUUUGACUCAACACGGGAAAACUUACUAGAGCAAGAAAGGGGUAUGAGGGUCAGCUCAGCAGGGCUUACCCGAUUCCCUUAGUGGUGGUGCAUGGUCGUUCUUAGUUCGUGGAGUGAUUUGUCUGGUCUAUUCCGCUAACGAGCGAGAACCUAACUUCCUAAAGUUGGGGAGCUGGGCAUGCCGAUCUCCCAGCAAUGGUCGAGACUGGCUGAAAACGCCCGGUGCCCUGGCCUUGGGGGACUAACCUCGCCAAGAGGUAGGUAGCAGGUCAAUAACAGGUCAGUGAUGCCCUUAGAUGCUCUAGGCCGCACGCGCGCUACAAUGGGGUGAGUAACGGGUUCCUGUGCCAGGCGGCAAUGGGGAAUCCUGUAAAGCCCCCCAAACUCGGGAUAGGGCUAUGUAACGCGGCCCUUAAACAAGGAAUUUCUAGUAGUCAUGCGUCAUCACCGCGUGACGAUUC
This 1678-nucleotide ribosomal RNA is filed under the name Arcyria insignis. Its description in RNAcentral is "SSU rRNA". It matches the Rfam family "Eukaryotic small subunit ribosomal RNA", at positions 26 to 1647 of the family's 1831-position model. The record is from RNAcentral. Lineage: Eukaryota; Evosea; Eumycetozoa; Trichiida; Trichiidae.